GUAGAAUCCCCAGGAUACACUUGAAAACCAGAGUAAUCUUCAUGUGCCUUUCCUGGUUAAAUACUUUGUUAUUAUUAUUAUAAUAUCCAGUGAAGUUUGAAGGAAUUUGGGUAAAACCUCCAUAAAUUGUGCUAAAACAUAGAAAAGGAUCAAGGGAAAUAUACAGAAAUCCUUGCCUGUUCAAUAUCACUUAAUCAGUGGUACGGUCUUUGGAAU
Pelobates cultripes (western spadefoot toad) is the source of this 216-nucleotide non-coding RNA. The record is from the annotation of a GenBank genome assembly. Lineage: Eukaryota; Metazoa; Chordata; Amphibia; Anura; Pelobatidae.